RNAcentral lists this ribosomal RNA (253 nucleotides) under uncultured bacterium. RNAcentral's name for it is "partial 16S ribosomal RNA". It matches the Rfam family "Bacterial small subunit ribosomal RNA", at positions 524 to 776 of the family's 1533-position model. The record is from RNAcentral.
UACGUAGGGUGCAAGCGUUGUCCGGAAUUAUUGGGCGUAAAGGGCUCGUAGGCGGUCCAUCGCGUCGGGAGUGAAAAGCUGGGGCUCAACCCCAGUCCUGCUUUCGAUACGGGUGGACUAGAGGUAGGCAGGGGAGAACGGAAUUCCUGGUGUAGCGGUGAAAUGCGCAGAUAUCAGGAGGAACACCGGUGGCGAAGGCGGGUCUCUGGGCAACUACUGACGCUGAGGAGCGAAAGCGUGGGGAGCGAACAGG